UUCUAUAAAACAAUGAUCAAAAUUGAGAGUAACAAAUUAAGCCUUGAGGUGGUUCUAUUAAGGUCGUAUACAAUUCAUUCUAUUGAAGAUUCUCUAAGCUCCUCUCAAUUAAAGUUAGUCUUCAUUUUAUUUUUCAUACAUGUGAGUAUUGUUCAUUAUAUUUAUAUCUCAUAAUAUCAUGAUAUUUUAUAAAAAGUAGGGCAGCUAUUUUUUUAGUGUUUUUUUCAGAUAAAUUUAAGCCAGAAAGAGUAAAAAACAUGAAUGGGAAAGUUAGUUUUACAAUGACACAAAUAAAAUAUUGCAGGAGAAUGUUAUAUAAACUAUUCAACCAAAAGGUUUUCUAACGGAUGUUAAUAUUUAAAAUAGAAACAUAAUGUGAUUUUCUUCAUGAGGAACAAACUUGGUAUUGACAUUCAAUGUCUUAUCAGGGAACAUAAGUGAUAAUAAGAAUUAGAAUUACGAAGUAGUAAUCUAUAAUGACAAGUAUUGUAGAAUGCUGACAUAUUAACUAGAAGUGUUUGUAACUAAGUAGUAGAUAAUUUGUUUGAACUGUUUAUGUUAGUGAAUUGUGUAAGUCUGUG
Molecule: long non-coding RNA, 581 nt
Filed under: Mytilus galloprovincialis (Mediterranean mussel)
Lineage: Eukaryota; Metazoa; Mollusca; Bivalvia; Mytilida; Mytilidae
Source: RNAcentral